This 387-nucleotide ribosomal RNA is filed under the name uncultured bacterium. RNAcentral describes it as "bacterial SSU rRNA". It matches the Rfam family "Bacterial small subunit ribosomal RNA", at positions 28 to 405 of the family's 1533-position model. The record is from RNAcentral.
GAUGAACGCUAGCUACAGGCUUAACACAUGCAAGUCGAGGGGCAGCAUGCUGGUAGCUUGCUACCAGUGAUGGCGACCGGCGCACGGGUGAGUAACGCGUAUCCAACCUUCCCAUGACCAGGGAAUAACCUUGCGAAAGUAAGACUAAUGCCCUAUGGUUUCCUCAGCGGACAUCCAAAGAGGAAUAAAGAUUCAUCGGUGAUGGAUGGGGAUGCGUCUGAUUAGGUUGUUGGCGGGGUAACGGCCCACCAAGCCAUCGAUCAGUAGGGGUUCUGAGAGGAAGGUCCCCCCACAUUGGAACUGAGACACGGUCCAAACUCCUACGGGAGGCAGCAGUGAGGAAUAUUGGUCAAUGGGCGAGAGCCUGAACCAGCCAAGUAGCGUGCA